This 73-nucleotide transfer RNA is filed under the name Fasciola gigantica. RNAcentral describes it as "tRNA-Thr". The record is from RNAcentral. Lineage: Eukaryota; Metazoa; Platyhelminthes; Trematoda; Plagiorchiida; Fasciolidae.
ACCACGAUAGCACAGCUGGCAGAGCAUCUUCCCGGUAAGCGGACGGCCGCCGGUUCGCUUCCGGCUCGUGGCG